Molecule: ribosomal RNA, 242 nt
Filed under: uncultured Staphylococcus sp.
Lineage: Bacteria; Bacillati; Bacillota; Bacilli; Caryophanales; Staphylococcaceae
Description: partial 16S ribosomal RNA
Rfam family: Bacterial small subunit ribosomal RNA
Source: RNAcentral
GCGGACGGGUGAGUAACACGUGAAUAACCUACCUAUAAGACUGGGAUAACUUCGGGAAACCGGAGCUAAUACCGGAUAACAUGUUGAACCGCAUGGUUCAACAGUGAAAGACGGUCUUGCUGUCACUUAUAGAUGGAUCCGCGCCGCAUUAGCUAGUUGGUAAGGUAACGGCUUACCAAGGCAACGAUGCGUAGCCGACCUGAGAGGGUGAUCGGCCACACUGGAACUGAGACACGGUCCAG